GAUGAACGCUAGCGGCAGGCUUAACACAUGCAAGUCGAGGGGCAGCGUGAGGGUUAGCAAUAACCCUUGACGGCGACCGGCGCAAGGGUGCGUAACGCGUGAGCAACUUGCCCUUAUCAGGGGGAUAACCGGUGGAAACGUCGACUAAUACCCCCAUGGCAUUGAGUUGAGGCAUCUCUACUCAAUUAAAGAAUUUCGGAUAAGGAUAGGCUCGCGUGACAUUAGCUAGACGGCGGGGUAACGGCCCACCGUGGCUACGAUCAGUAGCCGGACUGAGAGGUUGAACGGCCACAUUGGGACUGAGACACGGCCCAGACUCCUACGGGAGGCAGCAGUGGGGAAUAUUGCACAAUGGGCGAAAGCCUGAUGCAGCAACGCCGCGUGAGGGAAGACGGUUUCGGAUUGUAAACCUCUGUCUUUGGUGAAGAUAAUGACGGUAGCCAAGGAGAGCCACGGCUAACUACGUG
RNAcentral lists this ribosomal RNA (467 nucleotides) under uncultured bacterium. RNAcentral's name for it is "bacterial SSU rRNA". It matches the Rfam family "Bacterial small subunit ribosomal RNA", at positions 28 to 507 of the family's 1533-position model. The record is from RNAcentral.